CCCUUAGAUGUUCUGGGCUGCAUGCGCGCUACACUGAUGCACUCAACGAGUUUACGACCUUGCCCGAUAGGGUUGGGUAAUCUUUUUAAAAUGCAUCGUGAUGGGGAUAGAUUAUUGCAAUUAUUAAUCUUCAACGAGGAAUUCCUAGUAAGCGCGAGUCAUCAGCUCGUGCUGAUUACGUCCCUGCCCUUUGUACACACCGCCCGUCGCUCCUACCGAUUGAGUGCUCAGGUGAAUAAUUCGGACUGCAGCAAUGUUUGGAUCCCGAACGUUGCAGCGGAAAGUUUAGUGAACCUUAUCACUUAGAGGAAGGAGAAGUCGUAACA
This 326-nucleotide ribosomal RNA is filed under the name uncultured eukaryote. Its description in RNAcentral is "partial 18S ribosomal RNA". It matches the Rfam family "Eukaryotic small subunit ribosomal RNA", at positions 1470 to 1796 of the family's 1831-position model. The record is from RNAcentral.